UACUGAUAGGAAUCCUAGUAGGGUGAACCUAAUGUUUCUGCCUCUAAUUGCUAAUUUACAUAGAGCAAGCAUGUAUAGUUGGGGUUCAGCUUGUCUUGCCUGGUUAUAUCGAGAACUUUGUCGGGCCACUGAUCCGAGCGUGUCUCAAUUAGGUGGAGCUCUACACAUCCUGCAGAUAUGGGCAUGUGAACGAUUUAUUUCAAUAUCACCAUCUAUAAAUAUAUGAGACCCACAUAAUGAUGCUCCACUGGGAAGUCGGUGGAGUAAUGCACGACGUAUCACUCAAGUCGUAACACAUGUCUUGAUAGAAAUACGCUAUAAAUUUGAUAGAAUGGGUGACCCAGAGAUGGUAUGGGAGCCAUAUUCCGAUGAACUCCUUGCAUCAUUGCCAUUAUAUUGCACGCAAGGAUGUGACAUUUGGAGAGCAGUGGUUCCCUUGAUAUGCUUCCACGUGGUAGAAUGGCAUCAACCUGAUAG
Manihot esculenta (cassava) is the source of this 477-nucleotide long non-coding RNA. RefSeq lists it as uncharacterized. The record is from RefSeq and is a predicted model, not a curated record. NCBI's taxonomy places the organism in Eukaryota, Viridiplantae, Streptophyta, Magnoliopsida, Malpighiales, Euphorbiaceae. The transcript has 3 exons.